AGUUGGAGGAUGACAUGUCGAGCCAUGGCCGUGAUGGUUGCUCAGGAGAGGGCGAGAUGGCUAAACCUGUCCAGCCUCUCUCACAAGGAGAAGUCCCAGCUCCUCGAUGUCCCUGUGGACCCUAAAGGCCUAUUCAGCCCAGCGGUAGCCACUAUGCAGAAACAUUGUGAGGAGAAGAAGAGGGAAGGUGAAGCACUCCAGCUGUGUCUCCCUAGAAAAGUGCCACCCCUCCCCCCACUGCACCCCAACAGACGUUUGCCCAAGCUGUGGCUCGACCAGUCUACUGCAUCCCCAAGCUUCAGCCCCAACCCCCGGCAAGCAGCCGGGGUCAGAGCAGGCCCCAGGAGCUUAAAGGUGCGUGGGCUAAGAAACUCUUCGUUCCCAGUGUGACGCCAGGAAAGCAAGCCGCCCAUCCUGCCACUCUGGGGGCCAAGAAGAAGAGACGUGCCACCUAGUGCGCUGUCUCCGGCGGCGGUGGCGCUUACGCCGGAGAGGUGGAGCUGGGAUCCCCGAUAGGAGCGGGGGCAAAGUUUUCCCAUCUUGUUGUUUCAUUCAUCCCCAAAACAAACACAUGCGCGAGCCAGGUAAACGUCUUUACAACAAUACGCACUAGAGCUCAUGGGAAAUGUAGGCUUCAUUCCGGCAAAACACUACCACUUUUGUCCACAGGGUCGCCAAAAUCAACUCAAAAUUAAAGUUCAUUGUAGGGGAUUAAAGCUCCUACAGUGAACUUUCAUUCAUUUUCAUUUCUUUCAUUUCACUCAAAAUGAAACCCUAACCCCUAACCCUACCAGAACCUGCAGGUGGAGGCAGAGGUGCAGGUUGCUGGCAGAGGCUGUAGUAGGUGGAGGUUUGGCAACAGCAGUCUGCCAGAAUCUACAGGUGGAGGCGGAAGUGCAGGUUGCUGGCAGAGGCCGUAGGUGGAGGUUUGGCCACAGCAGUCUGCCAGAAUCUGCAGGUGGAGGCAGAGGUGCAGGUUGCUGGCAGAGGCUGUAGUAGGUGGAGGUUUAGUAACAGCAGUCUGCCAGAAUUUACAGGUGGAGGCGGCAAUUGCAGGUUGCUGGCAGAGGCUAUAGGUGGAGGUUUGGCUAAUUUAUUUCUCAUCGUGCUGGCAAAGGCUGUAGUAGGUGGAGGUUUCGGCCACAGCUGUCUACCAGAAUCUGCAGGUGGAGGCAGCAACUGCAGGUUGCUGGCAGAGGCUGUAGAUGGAGGUUUGGCCACAGCAGUCUGCCAGUAUCUGCAGGUGGAGGCAGCAACUGCAGGUUGCUGGCAGAGGUUGUAGGUGGAGGUUUGGCCAGUUUAACUCUGAAUGUUGCUUUGACAGGCUUUUGGUGUACGUUGGAUCAAGACAGUUUAGUGGCGGAAGAUGGAGGUAUGGCUGCAGCUGUCUGCCAGAAUCUGCAGGUGGAGGCAGCAACUGCAGGUUGCUGGCAGAGGCUGUAGAUGGAGGUUUGGCCGCAGCAGUCUGCCAGUAUCUGCAGGUGGAGGCAGCAACUGCAGGUUACUGGCAGAAACUGUAGGUGGAGGUUUGGCCAGUUUAACUCUGAACGUUGCUUUGACAGGCUUUUGGUGUGGGUUGGAUCAAGACAGUUUAGUGGCGGAAGAUGGAGGUAUGGCUGCAGCUGUCUGCCAGAAUCUGCAGGUGGAGGCGGAGGUGCAGGUUGCUGGCAGAGGCUGUGGAUAGUAGAAUUUGAAUCUGAUGGUGGCUGUUAAAGGCUAUUGGUCUAAGGUGGAGCAGGAAACUUCAGAGGCUGCUGGUGGAGCUGUUUCCAUAGCUGUCCUCCAGAGUCUGCAGGUGGAGCAUGGGGCAGCAAUUGGCUGGUUAAAGAUGCAGGCAGAGGGUGGAGGCAGUAGAUGGCUGUGUGACAGAGGUGGAGAGGAGUACAUCUUGCAGCACACAGUUCCAACACUUAACCAUAAACUACAAAACUUAACUUAAAGUAAAAAAAACUUAACCUUAAAACUACAAAACUUAACCUGAAAACUACAAAAUUUAACCUUAAAACUACAAAACUAAAACUUAAACUACAAACUAUUUACAUAUUUGAGCUAACACGAGUAAUGUUCAGUGCUUAGCUCGUUUCUGUGGCAGUGUCCGGGGCUUUGGUUAUCCCGAAGUGUCCACGUCAUACAGGGGAGGAUGGUCUUCAACCCCGUAUGACACACCCACAUGAACCAGUCCGUCCUCACUGAAUGAUUCGGUGAACGUUGGACGCUCCAGGCGCUCCAGAGAUCCACUUGUAAAUACAACCAUUCAGAUAACAUGUAACAAUGCUGUGUAAUAGUAGCCUGGGUUGAUAAACUGAAGCCACCUGUCUGUUUACAUCUUCUUCUUACAGGUAUUUCCAUACGCUGUGUAAAAGAAGAGCCCUCCUGACUGACUGUGCUGCUGAACUACAUCGACCAGAAAGAGCUCUUCCUCUCACUCGUCUGAAAUCAAGGCCCCGUUGGACUUCGUGGACUCCCAGAUACAUCAGGAGCUGAUCGAGCCGGUUCUAGACACACAACAAGGCUCACUGUUGUCAUCUUUUAAUGGGAAACUAAAUUGUAUUGAUAGAUAUUGAUUAGAUAGAAGUUUAUUGAUAUUAUUCUUGGUGAAUGAAAAUAAAUCACAAUGUAACCUUAAAGAUAUAAACUGCAGUAUGAUGAAUUAAUUAAUGAGUUAUUACAUAUUUACAAGACCACGAACAGUUGUUUUUGUGACUGAGGGCAAGUGCUAGGUUGUAAACCUGACCGACCCAGUUGUCACCACAAACUAUCCAAUCAUCAUGGCCUUAACCACUCACCUAUGUCAACGGAUGGAGGAGAUUUUUAUAUAAUCUUAUAUAAUGUACCAUAUACAUAUACAGUAUAACAGUAUACUAAAUACACACAGUUAUCUGAUUGCUUGGUAGACUGUUAGGUGCAAACAACUACUUUCUUUAGAUUGCACAGUUACACACUGUUUAUGUCUUCAUCUUGCUUUUGUUGGCUGCAUUGAAUCUUUCACCUUGUAAGGAA
Epinephelus lanceolatus (giant grouper) is the source of this 3000-nucleotide long non-coding RNA. RefSeq lists it as uncharacterized. NCBI's taxonomy places the organism in Eukaryota, Metazoa, Chordata, Actinopteri, Perciformes, Serranidae. The record is from RefSeq and is a predicted model, not a curated record.